RNAcentral lists this ribosomal RNA (492 nucleotides) under uncultured bacterium. RNAcentral describes it as "partial 16S ribosomal RNA". It matches the Rfam family "Bacterial small subunit ribosomal RNA", at positions 30 to 507 of the family's 1533-position model. The record is from RNAcentral.
AUUGAACGCUGGCGGUAGGCCUAACACAUGCAAGUCGAACGGCAGCACAGUAAGAGCUUGCUCGUACGGGUGGCGAGUGGCGGACGGGUGAGGAAUACAUCGGAAUCUACUUUUUCGUGGGGGAUAACGGAGGGAAACUUACGCUAAUACCGCAUACGACCUACGGGUGAAAGCAGGGGAUCUUCGGACCUUGCGCGAUUGAAUGAGCCGAUGUCGGAUUAGCUAGUUGGCGGGGUAAAGGCUCACCAAGGCGACGAUCCGUAGCUGGUCUGAGAGGAUGACCAGCCACACUGGAACUGAGACACGGCCCAGACUCCUACGGGAGGCAGCAGUGGGGAAUAUUGGACAAUGGGCGCAAGCCUGAUCCAGCCAUACCGCGUGCGUGAAGAAGGCCUUCGGGUUGUAAAGCCCUUUUGUUGGGAAAGAAAAGCAGCAGGUUAAUACCCCGCUGUUCUGACGGUACCCAAAGAAUAAGCACCGGCUAACUUCGUG